CUUAAAAAGCACAUUUUCCUUUUUGCAUAGAAAAUUUACUUUCUAAAUCUAUUUGCUCUGAAGGAAAUUCUCUCUUAAAAAGUAGAGGGAGAUAGUGUUUGUUGACUAUUUAUUAAUGUCAGGUGCUGUGGCAGGUGUUUCUCAUACAUUAUUUCACUCAGUCUUUGAGGGAGUAUUACAUAGUUCUUUUGUAAGUAACAUGCUCAAGGUCAGAGAGAUAACAAAUAGCAAAGCCUAUCUUCUGAUUUAACUGGAGGCAUAGGGCAUGCAUAAAGGCUAAUCAAAAGAUAUUGUAUUUGUGGUGAAUUGUCUGCAAAGACAGAUGGCAGCAAUAUCUAGGAUGUCCCUAUAGAGCAUAUGGCUCUUUCCAUAAAGCCAUGGGUCAAUUUUUUCUCCUCUUGAAUGAAUCCACAUCCUCUGGGAUGGCCUUGUGACCUCCUACGACCAGUAGAAUCUGGAGGAAGGGGCAAUGUGUGACUCCCCAGAAAUCCUCUUGGAAGCCAACAUCCACAUGAAGAAACUCAAGCUUGACUACUGAGUAUUGAGUGAAUACUUGGAACAAGGGAGUGGCCCAGCCAAUAACUGUCAUUCCUCACUCCAGCUGAGGUGUCACAUAUGUGAGUGGGCUCAUCUUGCACAUUCUGGCCCCAGUGAGAGCUCUCUGUGGAACACAGCUGCAGGAGUAACUGCAGCCACCUCCAUUUAAAGCAGAAAAACCAGCCCAGUGAACCCAGAAAACCCACAGAACUGUGAUACACAAUUUACAAGUGUUCUAGGCAGUUAGAUAUUUGGGUAAUUCAUUUUUCAGCAACAGAUAUCUUGAACAUAUCUUGGUACCUGGAAGUGAGGUGUCGCUAUAACAAAAACCUAAAAUAAGUGGCAUCAGUUUAGAGGCUGCGGACAAGUAGAUGCUGGAAGGGCAGUGAAGAGACGGUUCGUGUUGGCUGCAGGGACAGUGACAAGAUAGUAUUGGAGGCUGGAAAAAGGGAAACUCGUGUUAUGAACUGGGUCAACAAUCAGCAGUGUGUCACCUGUGAGCCAUGUGUGAUAAGCGAUUGUAAGAGAAAAAUAAGUGUAAUAAGCGAAAAAGUUAACUAUUCAAUUUUCAAGUAGAUUUUAGAGGAAAUAGAGAAGGCAGUCUUGAAGUGAGAAAUUGUGCCCAGGCAAAGAUAAAAUCAAAUUGGCCAUAAAACCUUUUUUUAACAACUAAGAAAGACUUAAGACAGGGUUUAAUGGAAGUUUAAAAGUGGACCAAGAAUGUAAAAAUCCUGAGUAUUGUGCAUGACAACCUGACAAGCACAAAGGAGAGCUCCAUCUCAAAAGGAAUAUAGAUGUGGUUUGUGGGACAUAGACGUAGUAAGUUCUGAUAAGAUUCAUACAACUGUGAAAGGUUUAAAGAAAGUUCUACCAGGAAAUUCACCACCAGGUUGAACUAAAAUAAGCAGAGUUGAAAAUGAAAGAGACCUCUGCCUCCCCAUCAUUCUAUGUCUAGGAUAUGGGAGAAGAAAGCUCAUUGACAGCCAACACGACCAUGACCAUUUCUUUUGAAGAAAGGAUGACCAAGAGGGCAAGUAGGCAUCAAGAAGGUAAAGCUGAAAUCCAUUUUACCCUCUUGGGAACCAGCUGGCCUUUAAGAAGCCUAGGCUGUAUUACAGAUUGAGGAGAAAGGAAGUUCAUGGAGCGGAAGGCCCAGGAUGCAGUCAUUCUGGCCCAUUCAGACAUCAGAAUGAAACCAUCUUACACAUUCCAGCCCCAGGUGAAUUCCCAGCUGAAUGCAACCUCAAGAGUGACACCAGCCAAUAUCACAGAACGGAAGGACCACCCUUUCAACAUAGCCAACUCACUGAAUCUCGAAGGCAAUUGAACAGGACCCAUUCCUGUCACAGAAAUUGAAGCGACAUGUUGAGCGUCGGGUAUCCUGGCAAGUCCUUCUGGCCAAUCUGCUCCAACUCUGCUCCAGGCAUCUACAGUGGGGUGUCAUUAUAAUCUCUCCAGCUUGGAAUUUGAUUAAGGGUUAUUACAUCUCUAAAUCUAUUUCCUAGACCUUUUCCUGAGUUUAGUGAGGAGGAUUUUAAGGAGACCAAGUUCAGCACUCUGGGACUUGUGCUGAUCAUCUGUCUUUAGGCUGAGCCUCAGAAUACAGUGUUUUGCUUCAUUCUGAGAGCAAGACAUCACCUGUCUCCCAGCUUGGAGACCAGAUUCUCUCUUGAUACACGGAAAUCUACUCUGAGGAUCUGGAAUUCCCUUAAUUACAAGACCCACAGAAGAUAGAGGACAUCACAAAAGAGAUAUCCAAAUGUUUCCUAACGAUGACAACUGCACUUAUUUUCCAUGUUUUUUAACUUUGUUCCUCCACACCUGAUAUGGUGACAGACAAAAACCUAACUACUUUCAAUCUAUAUGAAGUAACAUAGGUUAAUUUAACAGACUGUUAUGUUUUCUAAGCAAUUACCAUUUAUGCGGACAAUUGUUUGUAAUAGAAAUUGUGGAAGAAUGUAUGUGCAUACACAUAUAUACAUAUUUAUUCACACACAUAAAAUAUGUAGUUAUACUUUUAACACAAAUUUAUAAUUCCAUAUUUUUAAUAUAAAGUCUGAUUCCUGAAGACUUAUUUGCAAAAUCACGACUCAAUACAAAUUAAUAGAAUAAAUACCUAUUCUCUUUCCCCUCGGUGUAUUUUUCAAGUUGAUUUAUGUUUCCACUUCAGACCAUGGAAGAUAGUUCUUUAGAUUGCAAUUAGGGUGCAUGUUAUCUAUAAUUCUUUCCUAUUUCCAAUGUGUUCUUUGGUAGUAGAUGUACAGAAGAAUUAAAUAGCAUUUUAAGCCUAAAGUGUCAUUUUUUUGUAUUUCCAUGGCAACUGACAUCAACACAACAAAACCACUUUUUCCAUGACAAUUUUGUCUGCCUGUGUAAGUGGUUUAAAAUAAUAUUUAUCUUAUCAAUACAUAUUGUUUAAAAAUAUUGCUAUAAACCUUUAUAAUAACUAUAUAAUGUUUAUUCAAUACUUCAAAAAUAUUUGAGCUUUUCUUAAAAUUCUCAGUGUUACUGACUGAUACAGGGGAAACCAAAUACAGUCACCCCUCGGAAUCCAUGUGGGAUUGGUUCCAGGGACAUUCUCCCUCCCUGCCACCCCAGUGCCAAAAUCCCCGGAUGCUUGUGUCUUAGCUCUCCAUACCGCAAAUCCCUGGGAUGGCGGAAUCCUCGGCUGUGGAACCUGAGGGUACAGGAGGGGUGCAGGCGAUUGUACUUAUAAAUGUCUACUGUAGAAAACAUGUAUCAUAUGCUUGUAACUAUUAUUCUGAUACCUUUAUUCAAAUAUAAUUAGCCCAAUUUCUACAUAAUUCAAAAGUAUAAAAUUAGUUAUGUUUAUUCAUCUUGAAUCAAAAAACCUACUCACUCAUUUUCCCUCCACAGAAAAGUUGAUCUGUUUGUUGCAUCAACUGAUAAUUUUUGCCAACAUAAAUUUUAGUCUUGUAUCUGUAGUUAUUAAGUCAAAAUGCAUCAAAUUACAAAUAAAAUUUUAAAUAUAUCUAAUUGUGUGGUUUAUAUUUAUCAUCUGAUUUUUCUUUUCUUUUU
Equus caballus (horse) is the source of this 3576-nucleotide long non-coding RNA. RefSeq lists it as uncharacterized. NCBI's taxonomy places the organism in Eukaryota, Metazoa, Chordata, Mammalia, Perissodactyla, Equidae. The record is from RefSeq and is a predicted model, not a curated record.